This 1033-nucleotide small RNA is filed under the name Rattus norvegicus (Norway rat). Its description in RNAcentral is "uncharacterized LOC102546726". Lineage: Eukaryota; Metazoa; Chordata; Mammalia; Rodentia; Muridae. The record is from RNAcentral.
AAAUGGCCAGUUGUGCAGUCAGGUUCUUGCCAAUGCAUUUGUCUGCAGUCACAGCAUCCAUUUCUGUAAUGAGUGUAGAAUGAAGAAUGUGGGAAAAGGAAGCAAAGCCAAACAACAGCAAACCCCAAGUAGCAUGAGGAACAAAAGCCAGCUAGAGAAGGAAGGGUGAAAUGCAGGCAUUGGAGCAGCCAGGGGAAGUAGGCUGGGGUGCUGUGUUGAGUUCAUUCGUCACUGAUCUGAUGAAAUACCAGACGAAGUAUCUUAAAGAGGAGACUGUUUCUAGGUCAAAUUAGCACAUGCAGGCUGAGAUCUGUGCUGGGAUGUUUUAAGUUCCAGUGGAAAUGUCAUCAGGCAAAGCAGCGGAAAACCAAGAUGCAGCUCUGUGACGAUUCCACGGUAUCCAGACCAGCUGAUAAUCAGUUAUUCAAGGUCAGUUUAAGAACCAAGUCAUCUUUCCUUUCAACCACCACCACCACAACAUCCACACAGAGGAAUUCUCUGCCUUCAGGGAGCUGGGGCCAUGUGAGUCACAGUCUCUAGAGAUUCAACUUUUGAGGAAAACUGGUGCAGACUACAUGGAAAGGUGAAUGGCUGAAAAGGAGACAGAGGCAACAGGUUGGAAAAAGGAAGCUUGCACAGGCUUCCAGGUGGCUCUGGGACGCCAGAAGAGAGCAGGAGAGUCAUUAUGUGCACAUUUCAAUAGUUGCUAGACAGUCACUUCCACACCAGUGCCUCCAAAUGGAUCCCUUACCCUGGAGUAAAGAUUCUUGCAAGCAGCAGAGGUGACACAGUCUGAAAAGGCAAGCAGACAGCAAAGACGCUCACCCAUAGUAUUACAAGAGUCAAAUCAAGGGCUCAUUCGUACACACCCACAGAGACAGAAGGCCUUGAGAAUAUGAAGUGGGUGAUGCCCUCAGACUCAGCUGGCCCUUUAGGAUUUAGACCCUGGGUGAAAGACAAGGGGAGAUGGUACACUAUGCUGUCAGAACUCCAAGUAGAAAUUUUCAACAGACUAGUGAUAAACUGAUAUUAU